GUCGCGGUAGCUUAGCGGUGUAGCUGCAGUUGCAAUCCUGUUGUCGCCAGUUCAAAUCUGGCCCGCGACACCA
RNAcentral lists this transfer RNA (73 nucleotides) under Candidatus Gerdarchaeota archaeon. Its description in RNAcentral is "tRNA-Cys". It matches the Rfam family "tRNA". From Rfam's summary of the family: Transfer RNA (tRNA) molecules are approximately 80 nucleotides in length. Their secondary structure includes four short double-helical elements and three loops (D, anti-codon, and T loops). Further hydrogen bonds mediate the characteristic L-shaped molecular structure. tRNAs have two regions of fundamental functional importance: the anti-codon, which is responsible for specific mRNA codon recognition, and the 3' end, to which the tRNAs corresponding amino acid is attached (by aminoacyl-tRNA synthetases). tRNAs cope with the degeneracy of the genetic code in two manners: having more than one tRNA (with a specific anti-codon) for a particular amino acid; and 'wobble' base-pairing, i.e. permitting non-standard base-pairing at the 3rd anti-codon position. Lineage: Archaea; Promethearchaeati; Candidatus Gerdarchaeota. The record is from RNAcentral.